CAGUAGCCGCGGUAAUACGGAGGGUGCAAGCGUUAAUCGGAAUUACUGGGCGUAAAGCGUGCGUAGGCGGCUUUUUAAGUCGGAUGUGAAAUCCCUGAGCUUAACUUAGGAAUUGCAUUCGAUACUGGGAAGCUAGAGUAUGGGAGAGGAUGGUAGAAUUCCAGGUGUAGCGGUGAAAUGCGUAGAGAUCUGGAGGAAUACCGAUGGCGAAGGCAGCCAUCUGGCCUAAUACUGACGCUGAGGUACGAAAGCAUGGGGAGCAAACAGGAUUAGAUACCCGUGUAGUCCCUGUCUCUUAUAC
RNAcentral lists this ribosomal RNA (301 nucleotides) under uncultured bacterium. RNAcentral's name for it is "partial 16S ribosomal RNA". It matches the Rfam family "Bacterial small subunit ribosomal RNA", at positions 509 to 807 of the family's 1533-position model. The record is from RNAcentral.